This 244-nucleotide ribosomal RNA is filed under the name uncultured bacterium. RNAcentral describes it as "partial 16S ribosomal RNA". It matches the Rfam family "Bacterial small subunit ribosomal RNA", at positions 113 to 353 of the family's 1533-position model. The record is from RNAcentral.
ACACGUGGGUAACCUGCCUUAUAGUGGGGGAUAGCCUUUCGAAAGAAAGAUUAAUACCGCAUAAGAUUGUAGUAUCGCAUGAUAUAGCAAUUAAAGGAGCAAUUCGCUAUAAGAUGGACCCGCGUCGCAUUAGCUAGUUGGUGAGGUAAUGGCUCACCAAGGCGACGAUGCGUAGCCGACCUGAGAGGGUGAUCGGCCACAUUGGGACUGAGACACGGCCCAGACUCCUACGGGAGGCAGCAUG